GACGAACGCUGGCGGCGUGCUUAACACAUGCCAGUCGAACGGAAAGGCCCUGCUUUUGUGGGGUGCUCGAGUGGCGAACGGGUGAGUAACACGUGAGUAACCUGCCCUUGACUUUGGGAUAACUUCAGGAAACUGGGGCUAAUACCGGAUAGGAGCUCCUGCUGCAUGGUGGGGGUUGGAAAGUUUCGGCGGUUGGGGAUGGACUCGCGGCUUAUCAGCUUGUUGGUGGGGUAGUGGCUUACCAAGGCUUUGACGGGUAGCCGGCCUGAGAGGGUGACCGGCCACAUGGGGACUGAGAUACGGCCCAGACUCCUACGGGAGGCAGCAGUGGGGAAUAUUGCACAAUGGGCGGAAGCCUGAUGCAGCAACGCCGCGUGCGGGAGGACGGCCUUCGGGUUGUAAACCGCUUUCGCCUGUGACGAAGCGUGAGUGACGGUAAUGGGGAAAGAAGCACCGGCGAACUACGU
Molecule: ribosomal RNA, 467 nt
Filed under: uncultured bacterium
Lineage: Bacteria
Description: partial 16S ribosomal RNA
Rfam family: Bacterial small subunit ribosomal RNA
Source: RNAcentral